GUUCUUUCUUUUUCGCUCGGCUGUCGAAGGAGGAGGGCUUAGGAGGCCUUGUCGGUCAUGCGGCCCGGGCGGCAGCGCCAGCGGACCAGUUGCUGGGCCCUUCGAGGUGCAAUAGAAGCUGUGAGGUGAAGAUGAAUGAAUUGUUGUGAUUUCCAAAAACAUCUCAGGAUGGCUGUGAUAAAACCACUAGGAGUCUAACUGCAUGUAAUGAGCAUAUAAGUGGCUGCAGAUGAAUGUUCAGGUCCAUAACUGUUAAAAAUUCUUCAUUGCCUCAGAGGCAUGCAAUUGGAAGAAAAUGUGAAGAAUUGGUCAGGAAGACAUGAAUUGAAGCAGAUGAUGAGAAUUAAUCCUUUGAUCACCUCACAAAGUUAUGUAGAGAAAUACAUGCUUUUGAAUACUUUUAAUUGCUGGGCAGUAAAGUCUGCUAUCUUUAAAAUAUAUCAAGUGUUUAAACAUCUCCAGUUCCAUAAUCACUAGUCGGACUUGUUUUUAGCAUAUUUUAAGAUCUCUGUUCUUGUCAAUAAACAAGUAUUUGGAAUCUCUUAAA
Suricata suricatta (meerkat) is the source of this 547-nucleotide long non-coding RNA. RefSeq lists it as uncharacterized. The record is from RefSeq and is a predicted model, not a curated record. The transcript is spliced from 4 exons. NCBI's taxonomy places the organism in Eukaryota, Metazoa, Chordata, Mammalia, Carnivora, Herpestidae.